Molecule: non-coding RNA, 118 nt
Filed under: zebrafish metagenome
Description: FMN riboswitch (RFN element)
Rfam family: FMN riboswitch aptamer (RFN element)
About the family: The RFN element is a highly conserved domain that is found frequently in the 5'-untranslated regions of prokaryotic mRNAs that encode for flavin mononucleotide (FMN) biosynthesis and transport proteins. This element is a metabolite-dependent riboswitch that directly binds FMN in the absence of proteins. In Bacillus subtilis, the riboswitch most likely controls gene expression by causing premature transcription termination within the 5' untranslated region of the ribDEAHT operon and precluding access to the ribosome-binding site of ypaA mRNA.
Source: RNAcentral
AUUCUCAGGGCGGGGUGCAAUUCCCCACCGGCGGUUAUAGCCCGCGAGCGCCCAGCAAUGGGGUCAGCAGAUCCGGUGGAACUCCGGGGCCGACGGUAUAGUCCGGAUGAAAGAGAAU